This is a microRNA precursor of Theobroma cacao (cacao), 169 nucleotides long. It matches the Rfam family "mir-172 microRNA precursor family". From Rfam's summary of the family: mir-172 has been experimentally verified in Arabidopsis thaliana. This family is thought to target mRNAs coding for APETALA2-like transcription factors. NCBI's taxonomy places the organism in Eukaryota, Viridiplantae, Streptophyta, Magnoliopsida, Malvales, Malvaceae. The record is from Rfam.
UUGUUUGCGGGUGUAGCAUCAUCAAGAUUCACAUGCAAAUGCACGGUGGUGGUGAUGGAUAAUACAAACUCUCUUCUUUUUUUCUCCCCUUCCCCUUUCUUUUCCCUUCUCCUUUAUGCCAAAGUUGUUUGGAAAGUGAGAAUCUUGAUGAUGCUGCAUCGGCAAUAAA